This 472-nucleotide long non-coding RNA is filed under the name Marmota marmota marmota (Alpine marmot). RNAcentral's name for it is "lncRNA (ENSMMMG00000024691.1)". The record is from RNAcentral. Lineage: Eukaryota; Metazoa; Chordata; Mammalia; Rodentia; Sciuridae.
AAUUUCCCUGCAUUCAUCCUACCUUUUCUAUCAAUCCCACAAGCCUUUGGCACAAUGAAGUGGGUAACCUUUAUUUCCCUUCUCUUUCUCUUCAGCUCUGCUUAUUCCAGGGGUGUGUUUCAUUGAGAAGCAGACAAAAGUGAGAUUAUUACUCGAUUUAAAGGACUGGGAGAGCAACAUUUCAAAGGCCUGGUACUGCUUACCUUUUCUCAGUAUCUCCAGAUGACUGCAUAUGAUGAUCUUGCAAAAUUCACAACUGAAGUGAUUGACUUGGCAAAAGCAUGUGUUGCUGAUGAUUCAGGGGCAGAUGGUAACAAACCACUUGAUACUAUCUUUGGAGAGAAAACAUGCACAAUUGCCACUCUUCGUGAUACCUAUGGUGAGAUGGCUGACUGCUGUAAUAAACAAGAGUUGAGAGAUACCAUUGCCUUGUAAAGUAUAAAGAUGAGAAGCUCAACCUCCCUCCACUUGA